RNAcentral lists this ribosomal RNA (253 nucleotides) under uncultured bacterium. RNAcentral describes it as "partial 16S ribosomal RNA". It matches the Rfam family "Bacterial small subunit ribosomal RNA", at positions 524 to 776 of the family's 1533-position model. The record is from RNAcentral.
UACGGGGGAUGCGAGCGUUAUCCGGAUUUAUUGGGUUUAAAGGGUGCGUAGGCGGCGCUUCAGGUCAGCGGUGAAAUACCGGGGCUCAACCCCGGGGCUGCCGUUGAAACCGGAGCGCUAGAAUUCCGAUGCCGUCGGAGGAAUGUGUGGUGUAGCGGUGAAAUGCAUAGAUAUCACACAGAACACCGAUUGCGAAGGCAGCUUGCUAGGCCGGAUCUGACACUGAUGCACGAAAGCGUGGGGAUCGAACAGG